CAAAACUCCUCAACCAGGUCACUUCGCAGUAUCCAUUUGAUUGUUGGGGAAUGUAAUGUUUAUGUAGUUUAGCUGUAAUGUGUCCAAAUUUAAUGAGGAUGAGGUUGCUUCUUACAGAUGGGAAUGCUGUUCAGUUUGAGAGUGGCUACUUAGUUGAGACUAUUGUGGAGGGAAAUGAAAUUGGAAUGGUUCCUUACAAGAUUCGUGUCUCCGAGGAUGGCGAACUCUUUGCUGUUGAUUCGGUUAAUAGCAAUGUUGUCAAGGUUUCUCCACCAUUAUCUCGAUAUAGUAGAG
RNAcentral lists this unclassified non-coding RNA (294 nucleotides) under Hevea brasiliensis (rubber tree). Lineage: Eukaryota; Viridiplantae; Streptophyta; Magnoliopsida; Malpighiales; Euphorbiaceae. The record is from RNAcentral.